AGCAUACAUCCAUGUAGAAAAGGUGCAGUUAAACAUGGCCCUUUAAAGAAAUGCUGUCUUCAAAGAAAAAGUAGCAUUUGGCGAUUUCAAAUCUUGUGAGAAAGAAUGUGCAUUCCAAAGAAAGACGGGGUUCGUGUUUUGAGCUAACUGCUGGUUUGUUACUUUAGAGGGAAUACUUCCUGAAAUUAUAUAAAAUCUGGCAUUAAAACUUAAGAAUGACUCUGAUUUUUUUAAAAAAAUAUCAGCCUACUGAUAAUCUUCCAAAAAUAAUCUCCCAAGUAAAUAACUGAUCUCAGGUAACCAUUCAUGAGCCUGAGGCUGUGAGAAAUGCUCGCUGUGCAAAGGGGAACUCUCACCAGAUUUUCUGAAACUGUUCUAGAAAUACACUUUUCGGAUUGAUUCAGCAUUACCAGCUUAUCCAACAAAAGUAUUAACAUAUACAUUAACAACGUCGAAAGUAGCCUACUUUAAGAGAAAAUAUGCAGAAGAAGAAGAUUUACAUCAAGAUUACCAUGGGUAUUUUCCAAAACACCUGAUAUUACCUGAGGACAG
Molecule: long non-coding RNA, 552 nt
Filed under: Homo sapiens (human)
Lineage: Eukaryota; Metazoa; Chordata; Mammalia; Primates; Hominidae
Description: non-protein coding lnc-SYT16-67:13
Source: RNAcentral